CGGCGUGACCUAACACAUGCAAGUCGUACGAGAAAGUUGGCUUCGGCCGAUGAGUAAAGUGGCGCACGGGUGAGUAAUGCGUGGAUAAUCUGCCCUUUAGUUGGGAAUAACGUACCGAAAGGUGCGCUAAUACCUGAUAAUACUGCAUAACUACUGUUGUGUAGUCAAAGAAGGCCUCUGUUUACAAGCUUUUGCUGAAGGAUGAGUCCGCGUACCAUUAGCUGGUUGGUGGGGUAAUGGCCUACCAAGGCUACGAUGGUUAGCUGGUCUGAGAGGAUGAUCAGCCACACUGGAACUGAGACACGGUCCAGACUCCUACGGGAGGCAGCAGUGAGGAAUAUUGCGCAAUGGGGGCAACCCUGACGCAGCAACGCCGCGUGAGUGAGGAAGGUUUUCGGACCGUAAAGCUCUGUCGAGCGGGAAGAAAUGUAUCAUGGCUAAUAUCCAUGAUACUUGACGGUACCGCUAAAGGAAGCACCGGCUAACUCCGUG
RNAcentral lists this ribosomal RNA (492 nucleotides) under uncultured bacterium. RNAcentral describes it as "bacterial SSU rRNA". It matches the Rfam family "Bacterial small subunit ribosomal RNA", at positions 40 to 507 of the family's 1533-position model. The record is from RNAcentral.